RNAcentral lists this ribosomal RNA (372 nucleotides) under uncultured organism. RNAcentral's name for it is "bacterial SSU rRNA". It matches the Rfam family "Bacterial small subunit ribosomal RNA", at positions 526 to 896 of the family's 1533-position model. The record is from RNAcentral.
CAGAGACUGCAAGCGUUAUUCGGAUUCACUGGGCGUAAAGGGUGCGCAGGCGGCCAUGUGUGUGAGGCGUGAAAGCCCGGGGCUUAACCCCGGAAUUGCACCUCAAACUACAUGGCUAGAGCAUUGGAGAGGGUAGCAGAAUUCAUGGUGUAGCAGUGAAAUGCGUAGAUAUCAUGAGGAAUACCAGAGGCGAAGGCGGCUACCUGGACAAUUGCUGACGCUCAGGCACGAAAGCGUGGGGAGCAAAAGGGAUUAGAUACCCCUGUAGUCCACGCCCUAAACGGCGCACACUAGGUCUUGGCGGAUUCGACCCCCCCAGGGCCCAAGCUAACGCGUUAAGUGUGCCGCCUGAGGACUACGGCCGCAAGGCUA